This 60-nucleotide transfer RNA is filed under the name Escherichia coli. Its description in RNAcentral is "tRNA-Gly". It matches the Rfam family "tRNA", at positions 7 to 64 of the family's 71-position model. From Rfam's summary of the family: Transfer RNA (tRNA) molecules are approximately 80 nucleotides in length. RNAcentral also lists the same sequence under 42 other names. The record is from RNAcentral. Lineage: Bacteria; Pseudomonadati; Pseudomonadota; Gammaproteobacteria; Enterobacterales; Enterobacteriaceae.
AUAGCUCAGUUGGUAGAGCACGACCUUGCCAAGGUCGGGGUCGCGAGUUCGAGUCUCGUU